Molecule: long non-coding RNA, 223 nt
Filed under: Ananas comosus (pineapple)
Lineage: Eukaryota; Viridiplantae; Streptophyta; Magnoliopsida; Poales; Bromeliaceae
Description: long non-coding RNA (ACOM_LNC017258)
Source: RNAcentral
AUUAAAAUUACAAAUUUUGAAACCCUUUGAUCAUUAGGCAAAUGAUGUCGAAAAGAUUUGAAAUUUGAUUUCUAAACACUUCAAGUGGUAUAGAUCAUGUUCAAUGGAGCCGAUCGUCAAUUUGGAAGCUCUAUCAUCGAAAACAAAUAGGUAGUAAAACGGCUCGUUUACUACUGAUAGUAUUCUAGCAAAACUCUCUCUCUCUCUCUCUCUCUCUAUAUAU